GGUAACAUGGCCGAGUGGUCUAAGGCGCUGGAAUUAGGUAGUCACUGACCGAUCGGCAAUGAUCGGCCGAUCGAUCGAUCGCUUACGUAAUCCAGUCCUCCGGGGCGUGAGUUCGAACCUCACUGUUAUCA
RNAcentral lists this transfer RNA (131 nucleotides) under Armillaria gallica. It matches the Rfam family "tRNA". From Rfam's summary of the family: Transfer RNA (tRNA) molecules are approximately 80 nucleotides in length. Their secondary structure includes four short double-helical elements and three loops (D, anti-codon, and T loops). Further hydrogen bonds mediate the characteristic L-shaped molecular structure. tRNAs have two regions of fundamental functional importance: the anti-codon, which is responsible for specific mRNA codon recognition, and the 3' end, to which the tRNAs corresponding amino acid is attached (by aminoacyl-tRNA synthetases). tRNAs cope with the degeneracy of the genetic code in two manners: having more than one tRNA (with a specific anti-codon) for a particular amino acid; and 'wobble' base-pairing, i.e. permitting non-standard base-pairing at the 3rd anti-codon position. The record is from Rfam by way of RNAcentral. Lineage: Eukaryota; Fungi; Basidiomycota; Agaricomycetes; Agaricales; Physalacriaceae.